UAGGCUGCAACUCGCCUACAUGAAGUCGGAAUUGCUAGUAAUCGCGGAUCAGCAUGCCGCGGUGAAUACGUUCCCGGGCCUUGUACACACCGCCCGUCACACCAUGAGAGCCGGUAACACCCGAAGUCAGUAGCCUAACCGCAAGGGGGGCGCUGCCGAAGGUGGGAUUGGUAAUUGGGGUGAAGUCGUAACAAGGUACC
This 200-nucleotide ribosomal RNA is filed under the name uncultured bacterium. Its description in RNAcentral is "partial 16S ribosomal RNA". It matches the Rfam family "Bacterial small subunit ribosomal RNA", at positions 1301 to 1500 of the family's 1533-position model. The record is from RNAcentral.